GCCCCCGUAGCUCAGGGGAUAGAGCAUCGGCCUCCGGAGCCGUGUGCGCAGGUUCGAAUCCUGCCGGGGGCA
This 72-nucleotide transfer RNA is filed under the name Streptomyces atratus. RNAcentral describes it as "tRNA-Arg". It matches the Rfam family "tRNA". From Rfam's summary of the family: Transfer RNA (tRNA) molecules are approximately 80 nucleotides in length. Their secondary structure includes four short double-helical elements and three loops (D, anti-codon, and T loops). Further hydrogen bonds mediate the characteristic L-shaped molecular structure. tRNAs have two regions of fundamental functional importance: the anti-codon, which is responsible for specific mRNA codon recognition, and the 3' end, to which the tRNAs corresponding amino acid is attached (by aminoacyl-tRNA synthetases). tRNAs cope with the degeneracy of the genetic code in two manners: having more than one tRNA (with a specific anti-codon) for a particular amino acid; and 'wobble' base-pairing, i.e. permitting non-standard base-pairing at the 3rd anti-codon position. Lineage: Bacteria; Bacillati; Actinomycetota; Actinomycetes; Kitasatosporales; Streptomycetaceae. The record is from RNAcentral. RNAcentral also lists the same sequence under 84 other names.